GAGGAUUUGGGGGUUCAGGCAGGAUUUGGGGGUUCAGGAGCCGCCGCCCCUCGCCCUGUGUCUCUCUGGGCACCCCGUGGCCGCUCCGGUGCCCGCUGUGCCAGGCACUGCUGGUGGGGGGCAGGAACCCUCGAACCCGGGAACCGGGGUGCCCCCAGCAUGUCGGGGAAUCCCCAGGAUGUCGGGG
Long non-coding RNA from Oenanthe melanoleuca, 187 nucleotides. RefSeq lists it as uncharacterized. The record is from RefSeq and is a predicted model, not a curated record. The transcript is spliced from 3 exons. Lineage: Eukaryota; Metazoa; Chordata; Aves; Passeriformes; Muscicapidae.